CGGCUCACAUUUUAUUUAUAAAAUAUAAAGAUUUACCAUUUAAACUCAUUUUUCAUAAAAUUAUAAAAUCAGAUAAAAAUCACUUUAGAUAAUUAAGACGAUAGUAAGGUUACUCACUAUUUUGGGAGUCGAAUUUCGAGUACUACGAUUCUUGAUCCUCGGGUAGGGGUGAGCAUAUUCACACAUAACCGAAUAACCGAACCGAUCCGAAAUGAGCUCGAUUUUUUCAGUUCGGUUAAUUCGGUUGUUCGGUUAAUUCGGUUAGAGGAAUUCAGUUAGUGUAAUUUUUGCGAUUCAGUUUCGGUUAAAAAAAUUUUGAACCGAACUAACCGAAUACAAACAAGGGUAUUUUGGAGAUUUCCCCUAAAAAAUUCCUAAACCUAUUCCCAAUCUCAAAUUCUUAGUUCCCCAGCCCUUUAACCUUUCUGCCUUUUCGCUGUCCCGUGACUCACUGGCUCCCGUCACCAUUCUCAGCUUCUCGCCCUUUCUGAUUCGGUGAUUCCUGCUUCUGCCGACUACCGUCCAGACUCUCCCCUCGUCCCUCAGUCCCCCCUCUUAGCCUUUUCUCUACAACUUCAUCAAGAAAUUCGAUGAUUUCGUGAGACCCCAAACGAAUCGUCUUCUCGAUCUCCUAUUCUUUCCGCAAAGAUUCAUGUUUCGUGAUUCCUGCUUCUGCCGACUGCAAUCCAGACUCUCCCCGAAUCCCCCCUCUUGGCCUCUUCACUGCAACUUCAUCAAGAAAUUAGAUGAUUUCGCAAAACCCCGUAUGUUGAAUUGAUUUGUUUUCUUUUCUUUUUUUUUUGUGAAAUUGCUCUUUUAGCGUAGUUUUCGGGUUUAAGCACUCACUUCGAUCUAUUUUUGGUUUCAUGCUUUAAUAUUUUGUUUUGCAUCAGGUGCCUUUUAGUGUUAUUAUUUAUGUAUAUUGAAAAUUAAACUCAAUUAUUUUCGCUUGACUUGCUAAAAUAACAUGUUAAUGUCGUUGGGCUGUUUACUGCUUAGGCUAUUGGGGCUUGGAGUUAUGCUGUGCUUCAACCCAACUUUAUUCUGUUUUGCUUCCUGUGGCUGUGGUGCUCUUCAGGGUUGGGGUCCUUUGGUUUUAGGCGUUACAGCUCUUAUUUUGUGCUUAAUGCCUUUGGGGUCCUGCUGUAGUUUCAUCAACUAGACAGAUUCAUUGGCAUUGACGAGCCAAUGUCACGUCAAUUUUUCUUGUGAUCAUGAAUUUUUGUGUCUCUAUUAAAGUUGACUCUACCUUUGUUUCAUAUAUUUUGUCAUACAAGCCCCAUUUGGGAGUAAAGAGAAGGUGCCGAAAGAGAGUAAAUAACAUUAUUAGCAAUUCUUUUGUUUUGCUUUCUUUUGCAAAUGUACAGGUUAUUAAUGAAAGUAAAUAAUUUUUAUUUUGAAAAAAAAAAUUAUUAAGUUUGAUUUUUGAUAACCGAACCGAACUAACCGAGUUAGUUCUGUUUCGGUUGGUUCGGUUACUUUUUUACUUCGGUUCGGUUUCGAUUAGUUUAAUAUAGGAAUUCGGUUAGUUCGGUUACUGGAUAUCCAAUAACCGAAUUAACCGAACUAUCCGUUUGCAUAGCCCUAUCCUCGGGUACUAUCUCUUUACUUUUGCCAGAAUGCUCAGCACCUAGACAUAAUGCACAAUAAGCCAUUUACUACAUUUGUGCUAAAUUGUUAUAAAACCAAUUUAGGCUCUAUACUAAUGCAUGAAAUGGGAUGUAAAUUGUUCGGAUUAUCGUCUAAACACGGUAUUCUAUACAAAUUCAAUUGUGUACCUAAAUAAAACGAUAUUGGCCUAAUUUGAUCUAUCACUCGAUUAAUUGGCCAAUAUGUCCAAUUUAACUUCAUUUAAUUCCAUUUUUCUUCCAAUUCUCCAAACCAUCAAACACAAGUUAAAUAACUUGAAAUAUGGCAAAAUCAUCCUCACAUUUUUUCUUGGAAAAUUUGGCCAUGGUGGGUGCAUCAACACUAUAAAUUUUCAAGCUUGAUUCUCACACCAAAAAUCACUAAUUCCUAACCAAAUCACUUAAAAUAAGAUCAAAAUCAUCAUCAAUAUUCCACAUGGAGAAUUCGGCCAAUGAUGGGUGAUGGAAGAACAUGAAUUUUUCUUGCUUGAUUUUCAUGCUACACAUCACCAAUAAACUAAAAACACUAAAAUACAUUGAAAUCUAACCAAAUCAAGCAUCAAAACCUCUUUUUAAGUGUUCAGCUAGCAAGAUACCCAUCAUGAAAUCAUGUGAUUCAACCAUGGAAAAUGCAAAAGAAUGUAUGGGAAAGGUAGAUCACAAGCUAGAAUUGAAAAAUCUUACCUUUGUCACUUGUUUCCUUGAAUUUUCACACUUUUCCCUUGAAUUUUUCCACCUAGGGUUUUUGUUCUUUUUUUCUUCCUUUGUUCUUCCUUUGUCCGGCCAUAUG
Molecule: long non-coding RNA, 2418 nt
Filed under: Theobroma cacao (cacao)
Lineage: Eukaryota; Viridiplantae; Streptophyta; Magnoliopsida; Malvales; Malvaceae
Description: long non-coding RNA (TCAC_LNC001783)
Source: RNAcentral